CGGAGGAUCCAAGCGUUAUCCGGAUUUAUUGGGUUUAAAGGGUGCGUAGGCGGCUUAUUAAGUCAGGGGUGAAAGACGGUGGCUCAACCAUCGCAGUGCCCUUGAUACUGAUGAGCUUGAAUGGACUAGAGGUAGGCGGAAUGUGACAAGUAGCGGUGAAAUGCAUAGAUAUGUCACCGAACACCGAUUGCGAAGGCAGCUUACUAUGGUUUUAUUGACGCUGAGGCACGAAAGCGUGGGGAUCAAACAGGAUUAGAUACCCUGGUAGUCCACGCCCUAAACGAUGAAUACUCGCUGUUAGCGAUAUACAGUUAGCGGCUAAGCGAAAGCGUUAAGUAUUCCACCUGGGGAGUACGCCCGCAAGGGCG
Molecule: ribosomal RNA, 368 nt
Filed under: uncultured organism
Description: bacterial SSU rRNA
Rfam family: Bacterial small subunit ribosomal RNA
Source: RNAcentral